CUUCCGUGAACCCAGUGAGUGAGGAAGUCCAGCUCGAAGGAAUUGAAUUGACUGCAAGUCUUGGUGAGUAUGCCUGCAUAUUCUGUAUGACUACAUUUCCCAUUCCUCCAUAUCCACAACUUCAUAUCCACAACUUUCUCAAUGAUCUCUCUGACUCUGACCAUUACCAUGGGGUGUGGGAUGUGUGUGUGUGUGUGGGGGGGGGGGGAGCGGGAAGGGCUCUUAUCACUUGAUAAUGUUGUUUGUAAUACCAUUAAAUAGUUACCAUGGUCAAAAAGCAUUAAACCAUCAUUGAAUUUAACACUAGUGUGUUCCACGGUCAAACUCAAUUUGUAUUACGCCUUCCCACAAUUGACGGAUGGUUAAACAGUUAUAUUAUUUUCAGAAACUCGUCUUCAAGAGUUAAGGGGUACCCUUGCCUCUGAAGCUCCAGUGGCAAAAGCAGACAUAACCUGGACACAACGGCAGGUGCUCGCUGGAGUUAGGGCAAAAUUAGCAAGGCCAUUACUCCUAGAUGCCAAACUCUCGGCACAGAGAGCAUUACAGGAAACAUGCCAGAAAUGCCACGAAGAGGAGGCAGUUAUUCGGUGCCUUGAGUGUGUCCCACUGGACUUUGAGUACCUCUGUGGCAAGUGUGACAUAGAGGUCCACAGGAGGCAUGUCUUCCAUGGCAGGGUGGCAAUAUUCCAUGGCUAUCUGGAGCCUAUUCCCCCUACAAAGGCAGUGGUGGUGGAUGGGAAUGGCCAGCCUCAUUUUUCCGAGCAGGUAUGUCAGUUGCCAAUGCCUGCCCAAAGGGUAAUAUGUGGUUGCACUGAAGAGGCUGAGGUUACCACUGGGAGGCAUAUUGCAGUGGUCACUAUAAAUGGACGAUACGAGAUGUGUUUACCCCGAAAGGUCUGCUCUUGCUGCACAACAGAAUGGACUCCAGGGGUAAAGGACCUUCUACAGUAUAAUUACUGGCCAAGCACUACCAACUGCCAGACUUUAUAUUCGUUUGAUGUUUUUGAGGCAUUUUCAAACAUAAAGUUGGCAGCUCCCUCCCUGUCGAGGCAUGCUUUUUUAAAGCUUCUGGAGCACCAGUCUUUUCGAGGAGGAAGGGUAAGUCUGCCUGAAUCGCAUUGUAACACACAAUUAUAACUGUAUUUGUAAUUUUGUGGGUAUGUUUCUUUUUUUGAAAUCCUAAUAGAUUUUUUUUUUCCUUUCAUAGCCAGGGAAAAUCUGUGCAGAUAUGUUCCAGAGGAGCUACUUUGAAUAUUGCUUAUGCAAGCACACAGAGGACACAAUGUCUGAAGUUGACCCUUUUUGCUGUCCAGCCUGUCAACCUGAUAUGUUGGCAGUAUGCUGUGAUGGCAACCGGAAACAUUAUCGUUUCAAAAAGUCAAGGGGGUAUGUAAAUAUUACACAGACGUUAAUGUAGCUAUUUGAACAACAACAUUGUCAUUGAAAUAGUUUCAUGUCGAGUAAUGUGUCGUUAGUUAAAUAGGCAUUUUGUGAUCAUUUGCAAUGCACAGAACUGAGGAACCCUCUUUAUAUGAGGGCUUGUUCAUAGCCAAAGACGAUGAAGUUCUGGCCUUUCAGGAGAAUAUCAGAGGAAGCAGCGGGGCAAGAGUAAGUUUGAUUCUGCAUACCACAAUCUGUUUAUGUAUGUGUGUAAGGUAUGUGUUUCUAGUCCAAAUGAGUAACAGCUGACUUCACAGGCAAAUGACAAUGGGACAUGUGGGGUGUCAAGGUUCAGGGCAAGUAAGGAGGCCUCAAAGAAAUCUUCCUCAAAAAUUGAUGAAGAGGGCAUACAGGUGGCAGUCUGCAGGUAUGUUGGUAUGUCAGAAGAAUGUUAUUGUACAGUGCCAUUUGCCACUCAUGUUGUGGACACAUACAUCUGAAUGUCAUAUUUGAUGUACAGUAAAAAAUCAAGAAAUGUGAGUGUGUGAGGUUUUGAGCAACUCUUUGUGUGUAAGUUGAUGAUUAUCCAUAUUGUCUCUUAUCAAUCAGACAUGGGAUAUUAUUGCGAGGACUGAACCACUACCGUGGCGAAAUAUUUGCCUACCCCAUGUUUUUGCAGAAAGAAUUGGGAGAGAGGGCAAAUGUCACUUUCUUCUGCAUGGAUGUUGUCUGCAGGUAAUUUCUCUUUGUCAACCU
This is a long non-coding RNA of Gadus morhua (Atlantic cod), 2136 nucleotides long. The record is from Ensembl. NCBI's taxonomy places the organism in Eukaryota, Metazoa, Chordata, Actinopteri, Gadiformes, Gadidae.